ACUCAUGCGUAGUAAUAAUUAAGCAUACACAAGCAUAAUUCAACCAUAUAAAGUUCAACCAUCAUUAAGCAUACUCAAAGACAUUUAUAAUUAAAGACACUACAUAGCCGUACAUAGUUCAAUCCCACAUCCCAUCUGCUGACACGAUCGUGAAGCUUCUCGAGGUACUCAGUGUACGCGGCAUGCGCCACCCUGCGAGAAUACUUCUGCGUGAAGGAGCCAACGACUAGUCCUCUUGCAUGCGCCAGAACACUUCCAUGUGCGUCAUGAACCAUUUGGUUGCAAAGUGGGCAUCGAAAGCCCCUGUUCCAGGUCCUAAUACGCUUGUUAUGAUUUCCCGCAUAAAACUGCCUCAUGAUUUGCCUCUUGUACCUCCUCUGGCCAUCCUCAUCCUCGCUAUCGACAUCGUCAGAUAGAACCUAUACAUAUAGUAAAAGAAUGUGGCAUCAAAUUUUGAAGAAAAACUAAUCUCUAGCGAACAUUUGGCAGUUACCAAUCAAAUAAAUUUUUACAGGACAUAAAGUAGGAUUAGGAAUUUAUGUAUUUGAUGGCUAUUUUUUAGACAUAUCCAAAGAUUAUUUGUAUAGAUGACUAACAGGUUGUCCUCGUCGUCGGCAUCGUCGAUGGAGUGGUCGUUGGAGUCGUCACCGGAGUCAUUGCAGGAGUCGUUGUGGACCUCCGGCUCCGGCUGUGGAGGCACGACACCGUCGACGAUGUUAAGGUCCAGCAAGACCUCGUCGGCGACAACGACAACAUCUGCCUCCAUCUUCACACCCUUCUCUGAUGCUUCAGCGGCCCCGGCGUCACCACUCUCUCUGAUGGGGAGCUUUAGUGACAUCCUCAUACACUAGAGGCGGUGAGGACUGAGAGCGGGGUCGAGGAUGCAAGUGGAGAGAGAGGAUUGUGUUUGUAGCGAGGACCGGAUUUUGGCGUUCGGGAACACCAUUAAUAUGGAGUAGUGGG
This 963-nucleotide long non-coding RNA is filed under the name Hordeum vulgare. RNAcentral describes it as "long non-coding RNA (HVUL_LNC004696)". The record is from RNAcentral. Lineage: Eukaryota; Viridiplantae; Streptophyta; Magnoliopsida; Poales; Poaceae.